Long non-coding RNA from Cataglyphis hispanica, 607 nucleotides. RefSeq lists it as uncharacterized. The transcript is spliced from 3 exons. Lineage: Eukaryota; Metazoa; Arthropoda; Insecta; Hymenoptera; Formicidae. The record is from RefSeq and is a predicted model, not a curated record.
CCCGAAGAGGUAAUUACUAUUAUUUUGGAAAACGAAACCAUCAGCAUGGAGGAUAUUGUGAAUUUUAAGUGCACGUGUGCGAGAUUCCAGCAAAUAACAUUGCUUCGCAAGUUUUGGGAAAAGAAAUUUUUAUCAGAGCUGCCCUACUGCGGAAAAAAAAUAUAACAAAGAAAAACAGAAUAAAUAUUGCAUCAUAUCGAUUUGGAAAAAAGAAUGCAAGCAGGAUCAUAUUAUAUCCAAGAGUUACAAUAUUUUGCAAUGUAGCGUCAGAAAAUAAAUUAAAUAAUGCUGACGUAGAAAAUUUGAUGUGUUUACUGUGUUUAAUUGCAGAAAAUUUCAUAAUUCCGUAUUAUUCUGUGUGGGAUGAAGCAAAUAGAAUUUUUGAACAAAAAUCAAGCAAACUGUUCACCAAUUUGACACAUGAAUAUAUCUUUAACCAAAUUUUUCGCUGUUUAAGAUAUUUUCGAUUCAUACAUAAACAGAUGAAAUUUUAGAAAAUGUAGAAAAGAAAAUUACUUUUGGAAAAACAAUUUACAAUUGUAGCGCAACAUUUUGCGCUACAUGUGUCCUAUUCGGCCGUAAAAGCGUGAUUAGAUGAAAUAACGGA